This is a non-coding RNA of Acanthosepion pharaonis, 113 nucleotides long. NCBI's taxonomy places the organism in Eukaryota, Metazoa, Mollusca, Cephalopoda, Sepiida, Sepiidae. The record is from the annotation of a GenBank genome assembly.
UACGGCCACAUCUCGUUGAAGCUCCGAUUCCCGUACGAUUACUGAAGUUAAGUUACGUUGACCUUAGUCAGUACCUAGAUGGGUGACCGCUUGGGAAUACCAGGUGCUGUAAU